AUGGAAGACCUACCGGAGGCUCUGCUGACUGAGAUUCUCAACAGGAUCACCACGACAAGUGAUCUCAAUUCUCUUUCCCUUGUGUCAAAGCAGCUCUACAAGAUAGAGGGGAAUCAAAGGGAUGCUAUCCGUGUUGGUUCCGGUCUUUGCAUUGCUACAAAAGAACUGACAUCAUUGUGCGCCCGCUUCCCAAAUCUGCGAAAAUUGGAAAUCGAUUACUCUGGUUGGAUACCUGGACAUGGAAAGCAGUUGGACAACAAAGGCCUUUUUGUGUUUUCAUCUCACUGUUCCUCGCUGAUUGAUCUCACAUUAAGCUUCUGCUCACAUAUCGAUGACUCUGGGCUUGCUUGUUUAGCUUAUUGUAAGACAUUGCUGUCUCUCACGCUCAACUCCACACCAAAAGUAACAUCAGUUGGGCUUUUCUCGGUUGCAGUUGGUUGCACAAGUCUAUCUGCUCUCCACCUUAUUGGUUGCGAGAAAAUUGACAGUGUAGAGUGGCUGGAAUACCUUGGUAGGGAUGGAUCGUUGGAAGAGCUUGUAGUGAAGAAUUGCCAAGGAAUCAAUCAUCAUGACUUCCUAAAGUUUGGUUCUGGAUGGAUGAAGCUCCAGAAGUUUGAGUUUGAGAGGAAAAGAGGAAAAUAUGAUCUUCUUGAUCCAGGUAAUGUGGUCUAUGACUCCUCCAUGGAUGUAUACGAUUUCUGCUGUGAGAGUUUGAAGGAUUUAAGGUUGGCGCAUAUUGAAACUUGGCCAGAAGCAGGACUUCGAGUUCUCCUAGGGAAGUGUAAAGCAUUGGAGAAGCUUUGCCUUGAGUAUGUUCGUGCCCUAAAUGAUAAUGACAUUAUUGCAUUAUCUCGGAGCUGCAGCAACCUUAAAAGAAUAUCACUUUGGCUCAACCUGCAGCGCUACUCUAGUGAUAUCAACUAUUGUGAGACCAGGACGUCGCUUACUGAUAACAGCCUUUACGCUCUAGCCCUCAACUGUUGUAUGCUUCAGAUGAUAGACCUCAGCUUUACAGGAUGUGAUGCCGACUGGCCAUCAGAAAUAGGAUUCACACAAGAGGGUUUUCUGGUGCUCAUUCAGUCCUGCCCAAUUCGUGUUCUUGUGCUCAACAACGCCAACUUCUUUGAUGACGAGGGGAUGAAGGCCCUCUCAUCCUCGCCUCAUCUGGAGACACUCGAGCUUAUAUUGUGUCAUGCGGUAACUGAUGCCGGGAUGCGCUUCAUUGCGCACACCCCAUGCUUGAGUAAUCUCACACUUCGGAUGUGUCAUAACGUUACUGAUGUUGGAGUGGCUGAACUGGAAGGUGCACAGAAGUUAGAGUCUUUGGUCAUCGAGUGUUGUGGUGAGGUCUCUCUGCAAGCUGCGCAGCGUGUUGCCAAGUCAGUUCAGUACUCCAGCGAGUGUUCAAAUGCCCUUAUGAAGAAAAUUGGUCUUGGCGGCUAUUGA
RNAcentral lists this ribosomal RNA (1446 nucleotides) under Triticum aestivum (bread wheat). RNAcentral describes it as "partial small subunit ribosomal RNA". Lineage: Eukaryota; Viridiplantae; Streptophyta; Magnoliopsida; Poales; Poaceae. The record is from RNAcentral.